Molecule: ribosomal RNA, 484 nt
Filed under: uncultured bacterium
Lineage: Bacteria
Description: partial 16S ribosomal RNA
Rfam family: Bacterial small subunit ribosomal RNA
Source: RNAcentral
AUUGAACGCUGGCGGCAUGCUUUACACAUGCAAGUCGAACGGCAGCGCGGUCUUCGGCCUGGCUGCGAGUGGCGAACGGGGGAGUAAUGCAUCGGAACGUGCCCAGUAGUGGUGUAUAGCCCGGCGAAAGCCGGAUUAAUACCGCAGACUACCUGAUGGUGAAAGCGGGGGAGCGAAAGGCCUCGCGCGAUUGGAGCGGCCGAUGUCGGAUUAGCUAGUUGGUGGGGUAAAGGCUUACCAAGGCGACGAUCCGUAGCUGGUCUGAGAGGACGACCAGCCACACUGGGACUGAGACACGGCCCAGACUCCUACGGGAGGCAGCAGUGGGGAAUUUUGGACAAUGGGGGCAACCCUGAUCCAGCCAUGCCGCGUGCGGGAAGAAGGCCUUCGGGUUGUAAACCGCUUUUGUUCGGGAAGAAAUCCUCUGGGCUAAUACCCCGGGGGGAUGACGGUACCGGAAGAAUAAGCACCGGCUAACUACGUG